This 377-nucleotide unclassified non-coding RNA is filed under the name plant metagenome. Its description in RNAcentral is "partial contains 5.8S ribosomal RNA, internal transcribed spacer 2, and large subunit ribosomal RNA". The stretch from base 1 to 105 matches the Rfam family "5.8S ribosomal RNA", at positions 50 to 154 of the family's 154-position model. The record is from RNAcentral.
GAAAUGCGAUAAGUAAUGUGAAUUGCAGAAUUCAGUGAAUCAUCGAAUCUUUGAACGCACCUUGCGCUCCUUGGUAUUCCUUGGAGCAUGCCUGUUUGAGUAUCAUGAAAUCUUCAAAGUAAAUCUUUUGUUAACUCAAUUGGUUUCUACUUUGGUAUUGGAGGUCUUUGCAGCUUCACACCUGCUCCUCUUUGUUCAUUAGCUGGAUCUCAGUGUUAUGCUUGGUUCCACUCGGCGUGAUAAGUUAUCUAUCGCUGAGGACACUGUAAAAGGUGGCCAAGGUAAAUGCAGAUGAACCGUUCUAAUAGUCCAUUGACUUGGACAAUACUUUUAUGAUCUGAUCUCAAAUCAGGUAGGACUACCCGCUGAACUUAAGC